Molecule: unclassified non-coding RNA, 520 nt
Filed under: uncultured Glomus
Lineage: Eukaryota; Fungi; Glomeromycota; Glomeromycetes; Glomerales; Glomeraceae
Description: SSU rRNA
Rfam family: Eukaryotic small subunit ribosomal RNA
Source: RNAcentral
AGCAGCCGCGGUAAUUCCAGCUCCAAUAGCGUAUAUUAAAGUUGUUGCAGUUAAAAAGCUCGUAGUUGAAUUUCGAGACCGGUUUAUUGGUCGUGCUUUUGUACGUACUGGUAUUAUUGGUUUCUCCUUUCUGACGAACUUUAAUGCCAUUAAUUUGGUGUUUUAGGGAAUCAGGACUGUUACUUCGAAAAAUUAGAGUGUUUAAAGCAGGCUCACGCUUGAAUACAUUAGCAUGGAAUAACGGAAUAGGACGUUUGAUUCUAUUUUGUUGGUUUCUAGGAUCGACGUAAUGAUUAAUAGGGAUAGUUGGGGGCAUUAGUAUUCAAUUGUCAGAGGUGAAAUUCUUGGAUUUAUUGAAGACUAACUACUGCGAAAGCAUUUGCCAAGGAUGUUUUCAUUAAUCAAGAACGAAAGUUAGGGGAUCGAAGACGAUCAGAUACCGUCGUAGUCUUAACCAUAAACUAUGCCGACUAGGGAUCGGAUGAUGUUAAUUUUUAAUGACUCAUUCGGCGCCUUACGG